RNAcentral lists this ribosomal RNA (200 nucleotides) under uncultured bacterium. RNAcentral's name for it is "partial 16S ribosomal RNA". It matches the Rfam family "Bacterial small subunit ribosomal RNA", at positions 8 to 223 of the family's 1533-position model. The record is from RNAcentral.
AGAGUUUGAUCCUGGCUCAGAACGAACGCUGGCGGCAUGCCUAACACAUGCAAGUCGAACGCUCCGCGAGGGGAGUGGCGCACGGGUGAGUAACGCGUGGGAACCUGCCUUGAGGUUCGGAAUAACUGCGGGAAACUGCAGCUAAUACCGGAUAAGUCGAUCCGCUGUGGUGGCGGAUUGGGAAAGAUUUAUCGCCUUGA